UGGGGUGUGGCUCAGUGGCAGAGCACUUGCCUCACAUGUUCGAGGCACUGGGUUCAAUUCUCAGCACCACAC
RNAcentral lists this transfer RNA (72 nucleotides) under Ictidomys tridecemlineatus (thirteen-lined ground squirrel). Its description in RNAcentral is "Spermophilus tridecemlineatus (thirteen-lined ground squirrel) tRNA". It matches the Rfam family "tRNA". From Rfam's summary of the family: Transfer RNA (tRNA) molecules are approximately 80 nucleotides in length. Their secondary structure includes four short double-helical elements and three loops (D, anti-codon, and T loops). The record is from Rfam by way of RNAcentral. Lineage: Eukaryota; Metazoa; Chordata; Mammalia; Rodentia; Sciuridae.